CACACGACGUGAACUGGGGCGGUGGCAGCACGCCAGGCCUCUGACGUCCCAGGGCUCAAGCGCGGAGGACAUGUGGAACUCCACUCCAAAAGCGGCGGCUUGCGGCGGAGCUCUCUCUAGUGAGGCGGCCAGCUGGCGUUCGUGGCACACUUGCUGUCGGCUCCGCUCAUCUGUUGGGAAUGCGUCCUGUGGGCCUAGUCCUCCGCUGGAAGAAACGCGCUGUUCUCCCCAACCACCGUUUAUCAUUCUUAUUCACCGUCUCCGGAAUGUCCAUUCAGUUUCCGCUCCUGAGAGACUUAGUGACUGAGGCCAGGCAAAGAUUUCACCUUGGGGAGGGGGAACGUUAAACCUUUCCUCCAGCAGCUUUCGUGUUUUAAAUUGUAUUCAUCCGCCAUGGAAAGACAUCAGAAGCCCAGGAUCUAAGAGACAGACUGAAAUGAAGAAAGUAGAUAAUAUUGUGAGAAUAAUGAACAAGCUGGUCACUGAACAGCAGAACCGUAAUGGAGUCCCAGUUAAAGGGUUUUAACUUUAUUUCGUCACUUUUUGCAAGCAUGAUACAAAGAAAACAAACACCUAACUACGCUACGGUUUAUAGUUAAAAGGAAGGUGGAAGAUCCUGAGUCAUUACAGCAAUCACAAAACAUGAUGGAUUUCUUCAUUUAAAAACACAAAAGAGGUCUUGGCAUAGUUUUCAAGGGCAAAGCAUGACAAGACUCUCCAGUGCUUUCUUUCAUCCCCCUCUGUGUGCCUUUUUCUGCCUGACUCACAGCCUGGCUCAAUCCUAAUCUUUCUACUGCAAAGAUGCAGCAUUUAAAGCAAUUUUUCCUGUGCAGUAUUUGUAGAAUGACAGAUCCUGCCAGAAGCUCUUGGAAACAUUUUGGAACUAUCUUGCUUUUCUGUAUGUUAUGAUCCAUCUAGCACCGUUUUCCUCCUGUGGUAGCAAAUGACACUUUUUUCAAGCAUCAGCAGCAGAAAUGAGUCUACCAGAUGGAAUAAGAUACUGGUAAAGGGAAAGAUUUGUUUCUAAGACUGCACAAAUGAAUGCACCCAAAUCUGUGAGUUGAUUAAUCUGUGAAGAAAUACAACUGGCAGUAUUUACAUAUCUCAAUGAGUCUCAAAGUGUGGUCGAGGAAGCCCUGGGGGUCCUUGGGACCCUUUCAGAGGUUCCACGAGCUCAAAUCUAUUUUCAUAACCAUGCUAAGUCUUUAUUUCCUUUUCCACUCCAGAGGCUAUAUAAUGUCUGAUGACAUCAUCGCUUUAUAGGAUGAGAGAAUACGUGCUUGUAUAUUCUUGUGUUUGUAAGACUUUCCAGGUUUAAUUUAUUACCAUAUGGCAAUUUUCAAUAAGUAUAACCCACAAAACCCAACAGAUUUUUGGGGCACCUCUAACAAGGGUCCUAAGACCAAAAUGUUUGAGGACUGCUAAUCGAUAUUAUUCAAUUGUCUAGUCCCCUAAACUCCAACCCUUCUUAUCAGGACUACAGAGAGAAAACAGGUGGUCUUCUUGACAAUCGCUUUGUAUUUACAUUCAGUGCUUUAGUAGAAGAGAAGAAAGAAAGAGAAAGCAAGCCAGAGAGGCCUCGGAAAGAGAAGCCUACUUAUUAAAAAUAGCUUUCUGGCUGGUCACGGUGGCUCACUCCUGUAAUCCCAGCACUUUGGGAGGCCGAGACGGGCGGAUCACUUGAGGUCAGGAGUCUCAGACCAGCCAGGCCAACAUGGCGAAAACACGUCUCUACUAAAAAUGCAAAAAUUAGCCGGGCAUAGUGGCAUGCACGCCUGUAGUCCCAGCUACUUGGGAGGCAGAGGCAGGAGAGCCACUUGAACCCAGGAGGCGGAGGUUGCAGUGAGCGGAGAGCGAGACUCGCGAGUACUCGUCUCAAAAAACAAAACAACAAUAACAAAAACAGCUUUCCAUCCCUUCCCUGAGGCUUGGGUACCUGAACCACGUUAAUCUGUAAAUCACUGCUUCUGUAACUUUUCCUUGGUAUAAAUCACAUAGGCAAUGAGGUUGGGUAUAAACAGUAAUUGUCCUUGAAUUGGGUAGAUGUUUUCUUAUUAUUUUUGUCUAAGAGGUCAUUGCGAUAGGCAGAAUUCUAAGAAUGAUCCCCAGUGACGCUUGCCCUUGUAUAACCCCCACCCAUUUGAGUGUGAGGUGAAACCUAUGAAUUUGAUGAGGCAAUACUCCUGUUAUUAUGUUACGUUUUAUGACAGAUGUGAGAUUUUCCAGGUGGGCCCAAUCUAAUCACAACAGCCCUUUAAAAGCAGAGAUUUUCCGUCUGCUAAGAGCAGAAGAGGAAGUCAGAGAGAUUUGAAGGAUGAGAAGAAUUUGACGUGCUGCUGUUGGAGGGGGCUACAUACCAAGAAAUGUGGGCAUCCUAUAGCAACUGAAACUGGCUCCUGGCUGACAGCCAGCAGAGAAUCAGGAUAUCAGUCCCAGAAUCAUAAGGAACUGAAUUCUGCUAAAAACCUAAAUGAGCUUGGAAGUGGGAUUCUUCCGAGAAGAGCCCAGCCGGGUCACCAUCUUAAUUUUGGUCUGCGAAACCGUAAGCAGAGAAUCCACUCAAGCCCACCUGGAUCUACAGAACUGUGAGCUAAGCUGAUGUGGUAAUAUUUUAAAGCCGCUAAAUUUUUGUUCAUUUGUUGUGCAGCAAUAGGAAUCUAACACAAAGGUAAAUAGAAUAUAUUUUUUAAAUCGAGGCAAUAUUCACAUAACAUAAAAUUAACCAUUAAUUAAGUGUACAACCCAGUGGCAUUACUACAUUCAUAAUAUUGUGAAACCAUCACUUCUGUCUAAUUCCAAGACAUUUUCACCACCCUACAGGAAACUGAUACCCAUUAAGCAGUCACUCCCUGUUCCCUCCUCCCCUUAGUCCCUGGCAAACACUAAUAUGCUUUCUGCCUAUGGAUUUGUCUAUUCUGGAGGUUACAUACAAUUUGUGACCUUUUGUGUCUAGCUUCUUUCACUUAGUUUAAUGUUUUAAAGAUUCAUCCACAUUGUAGCAUGUAUCAGUACUUCGUUCCUUUUUAUGGCUAAGUAAUAUGUGUAUAUACAACAUUUUGUUUAUCCAUCAAUUGAUAACAUUUGGAUUAUUUUUACUUUUGUCUAUUGUGAAUAGUGCUGCUAUGAACAUUUGUAUGCAAGUGUGUAUUUGAAUAUUUAUUUUUAUUUCUUUGGGGUAUAUACCUAGGAGUAGAAUUGUUGUGUCAUUUGGUAAUUCUGUGUUUAUCUAAGAAACUGCCAAACUGUUUUCCACAGGCUGCAUGAUUUCACAUUCUCAUAAGUAAUGUACAAAGGUUCCAAUUUGUCCACAUCCUUGCCAACACUUAUUUUCCUUUUUAUAGUAGCCAUCCUGGUGGGUGUGAAGUGGUAUCUCAUUGUGGUUUUGAUGUACUUCUCUAAUGACUGAUGUUGAGCAUCUUCUCAUGUAUUUGUUGGCCAAUCAUAUAACUUCUUUGGAGAAAUGCCUAUUCAAGUCCUUUGCCCCUCUUUGAUUCAGUUGUUUGUCUUUUUGUUGUUGAGUUAGAAGAGUUCUUUAUAAAUUCUAGGUACUAGACCUUUGUCAGAUAUGAUUUGCAAAUAUAUUUUCUUCCAUUCAGUAGGGGUAAAUAGAAUAUUGAGAGACUUUUUAUAUAGUAAUAUAAAAAAGCAUGAAGGGAUGUGUUUUGCAAAAAGUAAGAUUACACAGUAUUAUACAACUAUGUUAUACACUUUGGCUCUUGGUUUUCUCUCUAAGGAAUAACUCAUGAAGAACAUUCCAUGUGUUAAGGUAUACCUCUAAUUCUUUCUAAUGCCUACAUAAUAUCCUAUUGCAUGGGUGUGCUAUUCACCCCCUACUUAUGGUUAUUCAUUCUGUUUCUAGUUUUUGGCCACUGCCAACAAUGCUGCAGUUAACAUCCUUGUACAAUAUAUGUUUAUGUAUUUUAAAUUUCAGUUUAAAAGGAUUUAUUCUGAGGAGUAGUAUUUCUGGUUUAAAGAGUAUAUGUGUUUUUAAUUUUAAUAGAUAUUGCUCAAUUGUUUUACAUUAAUAACUUACAUUUUUACUAGCAAUAUAUGAAAACAUUCUUUCUGCACUGCAUCCUUGAUUACAGUUAUAAUCAAACUUUACAAUUUUUGCUUAUCUAAUAGGUAUAAAUCAGUGGUUCUCAAUCGGUAAUGAUUUUGUCCCACAGGGGACAUUUGGCAAUGUUUGGAGACAUUUUUGAUUGUCAAAAUGGCGGGGGGACGGGGGGGCGGGGCGGGUGGUGCUACUAGCUUCUGUGGGCAGAACCAGGGAUUCUGUUAAAUAUCCUGCAAUAUACUCGAGGCGUCACCCACAACAGAGUUGUCCAUCCCAGACUGCCACUAGUGAGAAAGAUAAGAAACCAUGGUAUAAAGAUACCUCAUUGUGGCUGGGUGAGGUGGCUCAUGCCUGUAAUCCCAGCAUUCUGGGAGGCCAAGGUGGGCGGAUCAUGAGGUCAAGAGAUCAAGACCAUCCUGGCCAACAUGGUGAAACCCUGUCUCUACCAAAAAUACAAAAAUUAGCUGGGUGUGGUGGCGCACGCCUGUAGUCCCAUCUACUCGGGAGCCUGAGGCAGGAGAAUCACUUGAACCCGGGAGGCAGAGGUUGCAGUGAGCAGAGAUCGACGCGACUGCACUCCAGCCUGAGACUGGACUCCGUCUCAAAAAAAAAAAAAAAAAAAAAAAGGUACCUCAUUGUAUCUUCAAUUUGAAAAUCUUUAUGAAUGAGUUUGAGCACUUUUUUCCAUAUGUUUGUCAGCUACUUGGAUUUAUCCUUCUGCAAAUAGCCUAUCCAUAUUAUUUGCCCAUUUUUUCUUUUGGUGGCUUAUCCCUCUCAUUAAUUUAUUCUAAAGAGCUUUUUAUAUUUUUUAAUCAUUUAUUUUUCCUAUUCGAAAACAUUUAUUUUUCAAAUAUACUUUUUAUUGACUUUUGUAGUAUCUUUGCUAGAUGGUAAAAUAUUAUUGUAGACAUUAAAACAAGGUCUGAAAAAAUGGUCAGACAUACUGUGUCUUUGGAUGAGAAAAGAAGCAUCAUAAAAAUGUCCUUUUCCUAAAGUUAAUCUGUAACUUUAACACAAUUCCAAUUGGAUGUACAAAUCAGACGUUUUUAAUCUAUGGACUAGUGCAGGCUAGAAAGGAGCAUUGAUUCAUACCUAUUGUGUGACAUGUAGAAUUUUAGAGCAAAAAGAAGCAUUAAGAUUGGUCUGUCCAUUGCAUUACUUUUCUGAGGAAGACACUAAGUUACAGAGGAGUUAAGGGACAUAUGAUAUGCUAAAAUUGGAAACAUUCUGGUUAGCCCAAUUUGAACUUUGUUCUAGAAAUGAUGGAAUUCAAUAAAAAAUAAUUAUAAUCAUAAACUGUUAAUUUUAGAAAAAAACAUUGAAAUUGAGACCAAGAAAUGUAAAUCAGCUUACCAAAAUAACCUAGAGAGUUAGCAGCAAAUUCUAAAUAGUCUUUGGUCAUGCAAACUUACAAUUCAAUACUAUUCCUCCAUGCCAUGUAACCUCUUAAGUGCUUGCCUAGUUAAUGUUUCUUCACUUUCAAUAUACUGGUACCGCAAAGCAGUUCGCCUGGAAAAACAGAGUAUUGAAACGCCUUUCAAAGAUAUUUACUAGAACUUGGAUUCUUACUUCAUCCCUGUAAGUAUGAUAGGUACAAAUACACAUUUUUUCUCAAUUUAUAGGUGGGAACACUGAGGGACAAAGAAUCUUAGUCCUUCUAGGUCACAUUUAUUUCCUCAACAUGAGUAUAUUGACAGCCUGUUGUUCAAGGCCUUGCACUUGGUACUACAGCAAAGAUAAGACAGUCCCCAACCUCAGAGAGCUCAUACGGUGAAUCAGUCACCCAAGAACCACUCCAGGCUAUGCCCCUGAGAUGCUCCUAAACUGAUGACUUAUUUCACAAACAGAACCAAGUUCUGUUCUGACAAUAAUCACAGAUGAAAUGACUUGCUGUGCCAUCCAGUAAAAUGCUAGUUCAGCUCACAAGUGACUCUCUUCUUUGUUUCUUAAAUGCUUGACCCAGAAUUUUGCAUGUAGUCAUCAAGACAUCGCCCCACAGCUGAGCUGUGUCAUGGAACAGCCAGCCCAUCUAAAAGGCUGCCUACUCAUCAGCCUGCUCAGCCUGUGUGGGCUGGGAAUGUGGUGCCAUGCAGGGGAGGCAUUCCCCCCGUUGCAUGGUACCACAUACCCUUUGGGAAAGAGCUCUGUGCCUGCCCCAUAAACACUCUGUGGCACCAUUCCUCCCUCCUGACUCUGCCUGUCUUCUGCCAUCCUUUGAUGUGUAAAUUGGAAAACUGUCAUCACCUAUUGAUCUCAAAAAUGUCAUCCUAUGUGAAAAGUUAGUGCACUCUGGAAGAACAAACUGGUUAUUAACCAUAAUUCAGUUAUUAUUAAACCACUAUCUUCAUCCUCUGACUUGCAUUUAUUUGAUUGUAGUUUCUUGCCUCUAGUCUCACCCUAGCCCAGGCCAAUCUUUAUACCACAGUAAGAAGAAUCUUCCUCAAAUCUGAUAUUACCCUUGCCCUGAUCUCUGAUUGUUUAGGAAUCUCUGGUGCUUAAUAAAUAAAGUAGAAACUUCUUAUUUCUGACUUCUGCUAACUGCUUCAAUCUCAUUUUCUACUAAUGUCCAUUAAUGCUCACCAGUUUCUCAAGUUGUCAUUCAGAUGUCUUAUCUCCUUCACCACUACCACCCUAGUUCAGGCCAUCAUUAUUUAUCUUCUGAGCUGUUACCCUAGCUCCUAACCCAUUUCUCUGACCACAGCCUUCCCCUACUAGUCUAUUUGCCCAGCAGGUGGAUUGACCUCCCUAAAGCCUAAAUUGAAUUAUGCCACUCUUCUGCUCAGAUUCCUCCAGUGGCUUCCCAUCAAAUUUUGAAUUAAAUCCUAAGUUUUUACUGUGGUCUGUAAGGCCCUACCUGAUAUACUCACUCCAUCUCAGUAUAUCUCUAAUCUCAUCUCCUAUGACUGUCCACCUUCCCACUCUGGGCUAUUCACGCUGGCUUCUUCAUUGUUUCUUGUAUGUACUAAGCACACUUCUACAUCAGGACCUUGGCCCUUGCUAUUCUGUCUGCCUAGAACAGUCUCUUCUUAGAUAUUAGUAUGAUGCCCUCCCUCACUACUUUCAGGUUUCUGCCUAAUUAUCACCUUAUUCUACUUAAAAUAGCACACAUUCCCAUCCUGGCCACCUUCUAUUCUUCUACCCUGCUUUCUUCAUCUUAGCACUCGUCCCCACUUGCUAUAUUAUAUAUUUAUUUAUUUUGCCUGUUUCUGAGAAUAAGCACUACAAUAAGAGCUCCAUAAAAGCAAUGGCUUUGUUUUUGUUUACUGUUCUAGAACAGUGCUUGGCAACAUACUCAUACUUGACACAUAUUUGUUGAAUGAAUGAAGUAAGUGUCAAUUCCUCUCUGCACACUUCUCUGAUGCCUCUUGGGCAAUUGCUCUGUUUUCUGUUCCCUUGGAACUAUGUAUAUACCUCUACUAUAGCUAUCACAUUUUAUUGUAACUUUUUUUCCUCACCAGCCUAUAGAAUCCUUAAAAGCAGAUGUCUUAUCAUAUCCUUCCUAACACAAAUUUGGUGAAAAUGAGUAGAGUGAAUGAAGGUCGAAGAAGAAUAGCAAUACAGCCACUCUGCAGAUUCGAGGAUGGACAUGUUUGAGCCCUCAUUAAUCCCAUCUUCAGGAGGCUGCAUUGGUACUAUAUGUGGCAUUUAUUUCAAUAGAGAUGCUCAAGGCAAAAACGAUAUUUUACUGGUCUACAAGUUCCCAAAUUUCCUUUAGGAAAAUACUUGGGUAUUAUCCCGUAAACUACUUGAGUGGCUGAAGCUUUAAAAACAAGCAUCCUGGCUAACACGGAGCAACCCCGUCUCUACUAAAAAUACAAAAAAUUAGCCGGGCAUGGUGGCGGCGCCUGUAGUCCCAGCUACUCGGCAGGCUGAGGCAGGAGAAUGGCGUGAACCCGGGAGGCGGAGCUUGCAGUGAGCCGAGAUCGUGCUACUGCACUCCAGACUGGGCGACAGAGCGAGACUCCGUCUCAAAAAGAAAAAAAAACAAGCUAAUAUGUAACAGUUCUGUCAUAAGGCCAUAUCACAAACAGUGAUAACGUGGAAUUCAAUAGGAAAAUGAAAUAGAUGUUCAUAGAAAAAAGACUUUAACACAUUAUCCAUCUGGAUGCCAUGAGUUCUGUGGACCUCCCUCAUACAGACUCUAGGAAUCAAUCUAGGGGAAAUUUUGUUGUGAUCCAAAAAUGUCACUGGAUUAGGAAUUGAGAACCCUAAAUUCUCACUCAGGUUUUUCUAUAAAUAGGCUACAUGACUUCAGAUAAAUGGCUGCAUGUUGUAUCUGAGGUUCCUCUAACAUGGGUGUUAGGAGUAGAUGAUCUCCAUAAGCCUUCUAGCUAUAAAGUUCACUGACUCUAUUGAUUCAGCUGGGAGACUGUACCUAAGUAACAAGAACAGACUGAGUACUGGAAGAGGAAUGUAUUCUCUCUCAACAUCAAUGACCUUGAAUGUGAGAGUGAUUACAGAGUUUUGACACCUAGCAGUGCCUGGACCCAGGUCUCAAAUCCUGUUUGUACUCCUGCUCCUAUAGACACAACUGCUUUUCCCAAACUUGCAGAAACUGGACUCCCACUAAGAUGGAAAAGGGUGCCGGCCGCGGUGGCUCACACCUGUAAUCCCAGCACUUUGGGAGGCCGAGGCGGGCAGAUCACGAGGUCAAGAGAUCAAGACCAUCCUGGCCAACAUGGUGAAACCCUGUCUCUCCUAAAAAUACAAAAAUUUGCUGGGUGUGGUGGCACGUGCCUGUAGUCCCAGCUACUCGAGAGGCUGAGGCAGGAGAAUCGCUUGAACCUGGGAGGCGGAGGUUGCAGUGAGCCGAGAUCUCGCCACUGCACUCCAGCCUGGGGACAAGUGAGACUCCGUCUCAAAAAAAAAAAAAAGAUGGAAGAGGGAAAGGGUUUGAGACACUAGCUGGAUUUGAGAGAUAUGUUUAGCUGAGGUCUUAGGAAGGAGACUGCAAACUUGCCAGCAUUGUAGUGAUUGGCUAAGCUCUGCUGUUGGAUUUUUCUCUGAGAAUGAGAAUGAAUGUGGCCCAGCAUUCAGGGUGUCUCCUUUGGGAGUUCCCAUGGGGCUUCCAGAGAUUGCCAGAGGCACACUGGGAGCAGUCACAGUUACCUAUGAGGUGGCAGUUCUGCAAGCCCUGUCUGUGACUCAAAGCAGCCUCCUUGUUUCCUCACAUCAGACAGACUUCCAUUAAGAAUGGGGUUCAUGUGAGACCAGAAGGGGCUGGACUAUAUAUUUAGCCAAGACAGGUGGUGAAAUAAUUUAUUUUCUGAUAUACUUUAUCUUUCUUAGAGAAUGUAUCAGAACUUUUUUGGGAAAGAGUGAUGAGUCUUGAUUUGUAAAAGCAUGUCACCUCUUAUGGUAAUCUCCAAAGCAGCAUUUACAAUCACAUGUGAAUGAGUCAUAAACUAAGAAAUGUUGAAUGAUCUGAAAUAAGGGUAUGUUGAUUUCUCUCAUCAAAUAUUCAUUUUUGGCAACAUAAUGGACUCAAGGCACAGAUAUUAAGUGCUUUGAAAUUCUCAAAGCCACAAAGACAGGCCAUAUCUAUGAAUGUUUCUGAUAUGUGACUCUCCUCCCUCCUUCCCUCUUAAUGAGGUAUAAAUGCAUUCAAACACACAGUCACACAUUUAUUUUAUCUCCUCUCAGUUAUGUGUUCUCCAUGUGGUUUGGUGAGAUAUUUUAAAAUACUCUUCAAUGGAUAAUUAAAGGUUCAAAAAAUUUUAUGUAAAAUUCUCCCAGAUAGAAGAGAUUAGUAAAGAAAUAUUCUUUCCAAGUCUCAAUCUGAAUACAAUACUGAUUCAGGACCCCCGUCCAGGUUCUCAUAACUGCAAAUUCCCAAUAUGCUGUUCAGCUUUUGUCUCCUUCUCAAUUCUGAUUUUCAAGAUGAGAGUUCUUGGCUGGAAUAUUUGCUAACAGUGAGAAGACAUCUUCAGUUCUUGGUGAGGCAUUCAGGUAUUACAGAACAUGACUAUUUAAGCCGUGUGUGUGCAUGCUUGUCACAUCCUGCCUGGUAAAUAAUUUCUGGUUUUUAUAUACAUGACUUCCUCUCCCACUAACUGUAGGGAUUUUUGUGAUUAGAAACUAAGUGUGGUCUUUAUCUUUCCUGGUGUCUCCUGUGGUGUUUUAAAUAUAAGAGUUGUCCAGUAAGUGUUUGGUGGACACAUUUCUGAGUCCUCAUGAAUUAUACUUUCAACCUUCACUAAUGCUUUUUUGCAGCUCAUUUACAGGUAUUAUAACAUUCCGUUUAGCUAUAGAUGAAGCAUUCCAUCCUUAUAGUUAGCCAAGUUCUUCUAUUGUGGUGUAGAGAUCUUUAGGUGAAACCAUCUUUAGAGUCUGUCAUGAACCACAGGGUGAAAAAGACCUAUCUGUAUUACAGUAUGAACAUCCUUUCAGGAGAGGUCUACAUUCAUGCUUUUGCAUAUAACUCAUAUCAGUUUAAUUUCUAACCUCUUCUUCUUUAGCUUUCCAUUGGCAUUCCAUAGCAGAAGCUCUUCCUAAUGUGAAAUACAAGAGAAGAUCUACAGAUUCAAGAAUUUGUGUCUGGGAGGUCCACCAAGAACUCUGAACCUCAGUUCUUUAUUCUCCAAAGGAUACUUUGAUAUGUACCCAUCAGUGAGGACAGGGACUUUGUACAAGAAAGAGAAAUUAAUGAAACUUGUGAGCAUCUGAAUAUUCUGAUAUCUUACCUCCCCACUCCCACCCUAUCUAAAACCUCAUCACCUGGCUUAGCAUAUAAAGAGCUUAAUGGUGGGAUACAUCAGGCUGACCUAGGUUUAGGACCUAGCCACCAUUAUAACUUUUGGCAGCCUAGGACAAGGUAUCAUUCCCUUCUAAGGCUCAGUUUUCUCAUGUAAAAUGGAGAUAAUAAUAUCCACUUCUUGGGGUAGUUGGGAGGAUUAAAUAAGAUUAUAUAUGAUAAAUGUUCUCCAUAGUACCUAGCACAAAAUUAAUCUUUAAAAAAAGGAGAUCUAUUAUUAUCUAAGUACCAUAGUGGGCCAGCUUCCAAGUACUUAGGAAAGAUCCUUGCACAAAGUAGGAGCUCUUUAAAUACUGUGCAGGCAGCAAAUGCCAGUUACGUUUUCAAAUUUGGCUUUUGUUUAUUUUGUCAGAGACUAGAGCAUAUUCAUGAGCAGAGGAAAAAGAAGAGAUCCAGAGUAUACCAAAUUUUCCUUAAACAACUUUAUUGAGGUAUAAUUUUUGUCCAAUAUCACCCAUUUUAAGUAUAUAUUAAAUAUAUAUUUGAUAAGUUUUGACAAACAUAUGUAAUCACACAUAUGAAACAAGUCCCUGAGGUAUGGAGGUACUGGGAUCCAAAACAGAAAUAUAAGGUGUGACCUGACUAAGAAAGGAAAAUUCACCCUGUCAGGUGGUCAAACCAGAAUGACUCCAUUUUGAGUGAGGGCUAGGAAAAUGAGGCUGAGACUUGCUGGGCUGCAUUCUAAAAAAGUUAGGCAAUCCUAGCUCUUAGAUGUUUAUGGUUAAGGGGACAAAUUAAUAAUGUUUACUAAACACACCCAGAUUUAGGAGUGUCCGGGUAUCCCGAUAUCUGGAGAAUAAAGGCAUUCCUAAUUUUGCUUUAAAGACAGUAGUAUCAAUUCUUGAAAAAUAUAGUAAUUAAGAAAAUUCAUCCUUCAUCACAAACCCUAGUAGCAGAACACAUCUCCCCAUAUAAUACAAGCAUUGUACCUAGGGUGAGUGUGUUCCUCCUCUUACUUUCAGGAAUGUCCUACUCUGUCUAUAGAAUAGCUGUUCUUCCACCACUUUACUUCCUUAAUAAACUUGCUUUCUCUUUGCACUGAGGACUCACCCUGAAUUCUUUCUUGCACAAGAUCCAAGAACCCUUUCUUGGGGUCUGGAUUGGGACCCCUUUCCUGUAACGGCCUCAGGCUCCCCAGGGAAGGAGUUAAGGUGGAUGAAAAUGUAGAUAAAUAGGCACUAGGAGGGGGUAGGAGAUGACAUUGAAAACAUUCCCUAAUGUUAUCUAUUUCUCCUAUGUGAUAAGAGGCAAGGUACUUGCUGAAAAAAAGGUAAACAAGGAUGAGACAGGUUCUACCUUAGAAUAUGAAAGUUUAAAUAGCAUAUGUGGGGAGCGACUGACAAGGAAUGUGAAUAGAAAUUGCCCAGCUAGGUCUGUGUAUAUGUUACAGCCUGGGUGUAGCACGGAGAGUGUGAGUGCUAGACUAAUUCAAGGUUGGGGGCUUCUCAGGGGGUAAGAAUGAGGAGCAGAAGGCUGGAGACAAGAGUUUUCCCCAGGGUUUGUAAGUAUUGUUGAUGAACCAUGGGUGUGUGCUGCUUAGAGAAGGAAGGGAAGCCAUGAGGGGACCCAGAGGUAUCAUGUAAUGAAGGGACUGAGAGAGCUGGGUAUCUCCAUGAAAUGUGAGAGUGGGUGGGGUGGGAGUUCACACGAGCUGAGAUGCACAGGGAGUUUCUUGCUAGUUGGAUUUAACAUUCCAUGGAGGACAUAUUCUGAAGGAUGAUGUAUUAGUUUUCACACUGCUAUAAAGAUACAACUGAAGACUGAGUAAUUUUUAAAGGAAAGAUUUAAUUGACACAUUGCACGUGGCUGGGGAGGCCUCAGGAAACUUACAAUCAUGGCAGAAGGGGAAGCAGGCACAUCUCACAUGGCAGCAGGUGAGAGAGAGAGAGAGAAGUCCAGGGGAAACUGCCAUUUAUAAAACCAUCAGAUCUUGUGAGAACCCUCUCACUAUCAUGAGAAUAGCACUGGGGAAAAUCACCCAUAUGAUUCAGUCACCUCCCACCAGGCCUCUUCUCAACAGCUGGGGAAUAUAAUUCAAGAUGAGAUUUGGGUGGGUACACAAAGCCUAAUCAUAUCAGAUAACAAAGUUCAUGUUGUGCUCACAGAAAUCAGCUCUUCACAUACAGUGGAAUGCAAAGUUAAUUUGUUAAUAAUGGAUAGAAAAGAAAGAAUAAUUUUGACAACACUAAGCUUUUUUUUUUUUUUUUUUUUGAGAUGGAGUUUCACUUUGUUGCCCAGGCUAGAGUGAAGUGGUGCAAUCUCUGCUCACUGCAACCUCCGCCCCCAGGGUUCAAGUGAUUCUCCUGCCUCAGCCUCCUGAGUAGCUGGGAUUAUAGGUGCCUGCCACCAUGCCUGGCUAAUUUUUGUAUUUUUUAGUAGAGAUGGGGUUUCACAAUGUUGGCCAGGCUGGUCUCGAAGUCCUGACUUCAGGUGAUCCACUGCCUCGGCCUCCCAAAGUGCUAGGAUUACAGGCAUGAGCCACAAUGCCUGGCCCAACACUGGGCUUUUAAAAAGCACUGCCAGUGUUUCAGUGGGUAGUGUUCUUACCCAUAGUCUUGGGAGACAACUAUUACAUUGCAUACUGCUUAAUUCAUUAGCAAAUCCUAUUGACUUUGCCUUCAAAAUAUGGCCGGAAUUCCACCACUCUCACCAUUUUUAUUGCUACCACAGUUGAUAUGAAUAUCUGUAAUUGCAGCUAAAUUGGACUUCCUGCUAACAUCCUUGAUCCCCUAUAGUCUCUUCUUGUUAUAGCUGUCACAAAGAUUCUUUUAAAGCACAAGUCAGAUGAUAUUCUUCUCCGUUCAAUACUGUCCAAUAACUUCCCAUCUCAUUCAGCAAAUGAGCCCAAGGGCUGCUAGACCUAAAUAGCCACUCUAUUCCCCACCCUCUGUCUCUCUCCACCUUUCCCCACCCAUUUUAUUCUUUGAUCUCAACUUCUGCUCUCCCCCUUGCUCAUUUGGCUUCAGCCACCUGGUUCUCCUUGUCAAUCCUGGAUCACUACCUGCAUAUUUUUACUACAAAAUGUUUAUUCAUGGUUCUUUCUGCUUUCUAAGUUUUUUUUUUUCCUAUAUGUCUGUGGUAUUUACUUCCUCACUUCCUCUGCUCUUUGCUCAAACAUCAAGCUAGGGCCUCCCCUGACCAUCCUUUUUAAUGUUGACUUCCUCCCCACUACAAAUAUUCAGCUCCUGCUAUUGAUUUAUUUUUGCCAUAGGACUUAUUAUCUAAUAUCUUAUAUAUUUUUAUUAUGGUUUAUUGUCUCUUUCUUUCAACUUGUGAAUAAACUCCAUUCAAGUAGG
RNAcentral lists this long non-coding RNA (14107 nucleotides) under Homo sapiens (human). RNAcentral describes it as "HSALNT0296437". Lineage: Eukaryota; Metazoa; Chordata; Mammalia; Primates; Hominidae. The record is from RNAcentral.